This 960-nucleotide ribosomal RNA is filed under the name uncultured bacterium. RNAcentral's name for it is "bacterial SSU rRNA". It matches the Rfam family "Bacterial small subunit ribosomal RNA", at positions 49 to 1003 of the family's 1533-position model. The record is from RNAcentral.
CUACCAUGCAAGUCGAGGGGCAGCACGAUAAAGCUUGCUUUAUUGGUGGCGACCGGCGCACGGGUGCGUAACGCGUAUGCAACCUACCCUGUACUGGGGGAUAACCCGGAGAAAUUCGGACUAAUACCCCAUAGUAAUAUACUUUCGCAUGUUAGUAUAUUUAAAGGUUACGGUACAGGAUGGGCAUGCGUCCUAUUAGUUAGAUGGUGAGGUAACGGCUCACCAUGGCGAUGAUAGGUAGGGGGCCUGAGAGGGUGGUCCCCCACACUGGUACUGAGACACGGACCAGACUCCUACGGGAGGCAGCAGUGAGGAGUAUUGGUCAAUGGGCGCAAGCCUGAACCAGCCAUGCCGCGUGCAGGAAGAAUGCCCUAUGGGUUGUAAACUGCUUUUAUUUGGGAAUAAACCCAGGGUCGUGCACCCUGGCUGAAGGUACCAAAUGAAUAAGCACCGGCUAACUCCGUGCCAGCAGCCGCGGUAAUACGGAGGGUGCAAGCGUUAUCCGGAAUCAUUGGGUUUAAAGGGUCCGCAGGCGGGCUUAUAAGUCAGUGGUGAAAGCCUACAGCUCAACUGUAGAACUGCCAUUGAUACUGUAAGUCUUGAAUUCGGUCGAAGUGGGCGGAAUAUGACAUGUAGCGGUGAAAUGCUUAGAUAUGUCAUAGAACACCGAUAGCGAAGGCAGCUCACUAGGCCUGGAUUGACGCUCAGGGACGAAAGCGUGGGGAUCAAACAGGAUUAGAUACCCUGGUAGUCCACGCCGUAAACUAUGAUUACUCGUUUUCGGCACUUAAGUGUGUCGGAGACCAAGCGAAAGUGAUAAGUAAUCCACCUGGGGAGUACGAUCGCAAGGUUGAAACUCAAAGGAAUUGACGGGGGCCCGCACAAGCGGUGGAGCAUGUGGUUUAAUUCGAUGAUACGCGAGGAACCUUACCAGGGCUUAAAUGCAGAACGCAUAAUUGG